GAUGAACGCUGGCGGCGUGCCUAAUACAUGCAAGUCGAGCGAACAGACGAGGAGCUUGCUCCUCUGACGUUAGCGGCGGACGGGUGAGUAACACGUGGAUAACCUACCUAUAAGACUGGGAUAACUUCGGGAAACCGGAGCUAAUACCGGAUAAUAUAUUGAACCGCGUGGUUCAAUAGUGAAAGACGGUUUUGCUGUCACUUAUAGAUGGAUCCGCGCCGCAUUAGCUAGUUGGUAAGGUAACGGCUUACCAAGGCGACGAUGCGUAGCCGACCUGAGAGGGUGAUCGGCCACACUGGAACUGAGACACGGUCCAGACUCCUACGGGAGGCAGCAGUAGGGAAUCUUCCGCAAAGGGCGAAAGCCUGACGGAGCAACGCCGCGUGAGUGAUGAAGGUCUUCGGAUCGUAAAACUCUGUUAUUAGGGAAGAACAAAUGUGUAAGUAACUAUGCACGUCUUGACGGUACCUAAUCAGAAAGCCACGGCUAACUACGUG
This 497-nucleotide ribosomal RNA is filed under the name uncultured bacterium. Its description in RNAcentral is "partial 16S ribosomal RNA". It matches the Rfam family "Bacterial small subunit ribosomal RNA", at positions 28 to 507 of the family's 1533-position model. The record is from RNAcentral.